This 88-nucleotide transfer RNA is filed under the name Gammaproteobacteria bacterium. RNAcentral's name for it is "tRNA-Ser". It matches the Rfam family "tRNA". Rfam says of the family: Transfer RNA (tRNA) molecules are approximately 80 nucleotides in length. The record is from RNAcentral. Lineage: Bacteria; Pseudomonadati; Pseudomonadota; Gammaproteobacteria. RNAcentral also lists the same sequence under 3 other names.
GGAGAGGUGGCCGAGUGGUCGAAGGCGCACGCCUGGAAAGUGUGUAAACCGUAAGGUUUCGGGGGUUCGAAUCCCCCCCUCUUCGCCA